GACGAACGCUGGCGGCGUGCUUAACACAUGCAAGUCGAACGGAAAGGCCCUGCUUUUGUGGGGUGCUCGAGUGGCGAACGGGUGAGUAACACGUGAGUAACCUGCCCUUGACUUUGGGAUAACUUCAGGAAACUGGGGCUAAUACCGGAUAGGAGCUCCUGCCGCAUGGUGGGGGUUGGAAAGUUUCGGCGGUUGGGGAUGGACUCGCGGCUUAUCAGCUUGUUGGUGGGGUAGUGGCUUACCAAGGCUUUGACGGGUAGCCGGCCUGAGAGGGUGACCGGAGACAGUGGUGAGGAGAUACGGCCCAGACGCAGAGGGGAGGCAGCGGAGGGGAAUAGUGCACGGUGGGCGCAAGCGUGAGGCGGCAGCGCCGGGGGGGGGGUGACGGCCGUGGGGUUGUAACCCGCUUGCGCCUGGGCCAAGGAGUGAGUGAAGGAAAUGAGAAAAGAAGCACCGGGUAACUACGUGCCAGCGGCCGCGGUAAUAGGA
This 489-nucleotide ribosomal RNA is filed under the name uncultured bacterium. RNAcentral's name for it is "partial 16S ribosomal RNA". It matches the Rfam family "Bacterial small subunit ribosomal RNA", at positions 28 to 528 of the family's 1533-position model. The record is from RNAcentral.